Molecule: long non-coding RNA, 1861 nt
Filed under: Capra hircus (goat)
Lineage: Eukaryota; Metazoa; Chordata; Mammalia; Artiodactyla; Bovidae
Description: lncRNA (ENSCHIG00010005107.1)
Source: RNAcentral
CAAGCAUCUUUUAAUUUCAUGGCUUCAGUCACCAUCUGCAGUGAUUUGGGGGCCCCCAAAAAUACAUGGGCAACCAAUAUUUGGAAGUAUUAUUAUUGUUAAGCACUAGUAAUGCAUUGUAGACUUCUAAAUUUCUAUCACCAGUCCAGACUACUUUCUGCCUCCCAACACAUCUAACUUCCUAUGAUACAUCUCCCCUUGUAUUUUCAAGAGCCAUCUCAAACACAGCAUAUACAACAUACUCCAACAUUCUCACAGUCUCCCUCCUUUGUCCCAUCUCCAUAUUUUCUACUUCCACUAAAUUCCAUAGUUGUUCAAGUCAGAAAUCUGGAAAUCAUUCUAGAUAUCUUCUUUUCCUUUCAUCCAGAGAAUCCCAAAGUCCUGAUGAUUCCACCUUUUAUUUGCUCUUGAGUUCAUCUACGCUUCCAUGCAUGUUGAGCCCAUCUACAUCCCCAUGCAAUGCUUUCUCUCAUAGCUAUUACAAGAAGCCACCUCUAUACCUGGUGUCUGAAUCUCUAGCUUUAAUCCCCUCCAUUCAUCUUCUAGACUGCUUCCUAAGUGUGGCUAUUGAAACGCAAAUCUGAGAUUAUUGCUCCCUUCCUUCAAGCUCCUGUCCCAGUUCCUUACCCUGGACCAUCGAUCUUCAGGCUUAUCUUUUUACCUCAUGGUUUUUCCAGGUCAGACAUCACAUACCUCCCCAAUGCUAUGUUCUCUAAGCCUCCAAAUCUUUACACAAACUUUCUCCUUUUGCUAUCUCCUCCUUAAAAUUCAACUCAUGUGCUGCUUCUCAAGUAAAUCUUUCUUUCCACACCAGUCACAAACCAGUGUCUCUUCCCACUCCAGACUGACCAAGUCCUUUUUCCUAGUACUCAUCUAAUUUCUAUACCAAUAAGAUGAUAGCCCCUCUCAUUCUAUUACUCUUUUUUUUUUUUUCAGUCUCCAAAGUGAUGAGUACCUUAAAGGCAGAGACUUUUUUAAAAAUUAGUACCCAGGAUGUUNNNNAACUCAUAACCUGUGCUUUGUAUAUGAUUAUCACAUUAAAAAUGGAUGCUUUUUAAAUUUCUUCUCUGAAUUAAAUCUCUUUUCAUCUAGUGGAAAACAUACAGAAUUUGGAGUUUGAAGACCUAUAAUCAAGUUCCAAAUGUGCUACCUACUAGUUGAAGACCUUGAACAAAUUAGUUAACCGCUUAAAAUUUAUUACAUCAUGGUGAGGAUCAGUUAUGACCAUGAACGUAAACUUUGUGAAUAGUAAAGUAUUUUAAAAAUAUAACAAAUGAUAAGUAAGAGGCAGAGAUGAAACAUAAUGUAGCUCAUGAUGAAAUUUGACAUUGAGAUCAAACUUUAAUAAUUGGAGCUUCACAUUCUGAAGGUGUCUUUCUUGGGAAACGUGUAGCACAAGUACAUAGACACCUAUGAACAAACCUCGUUUCUACCAUUGAUUUUUAUUGGUUGUGUGCAUUUUGUAAGUUACUUGGAUGUGCUGAGUCUUAAUAUUCUCAUCUGUAAAAUGGCAAUAGAAUUUCCUCAUAGAAUUGCUGUGAAGAUUUAGGUGCAUUAAGACCUAUAUAGUAGUAGUAGUGUUAGUCACUCAGUCGUGUCUAACUCUUUGCAACCCCAUCUGUCCACAGUAUUCUCCAGGCAAGAAUAUUGGAGUGGGUUGCCAUUCCUUUCUCCAAGAGGUAUUCCUGACCCAGGGAUUGAACCUGGAUCUCCUGCAUUUCAGGCAAAUUCUUUACUGUCUGAGCCACCAGGGAUGCCCUUAUUAAGACCUAUAAGAUACUGUAAAAAGAACAUUAUAAGUCCAGAAAAAAAUGUAUCUUUCUAUUAUAAAAAGUCCUUCUUUCUCCUAUGAACACAAGAA